UACGUAGGGUGCGAGCGUUAAUCGGAAUUACUGGGCGUAAAGCGUGCGUAGGCGGUUCCUCAAGUCCGUUGUGAAAGCCCCGGGCUCAACCUGGGAAUGGCAGUGGAAACUAGGGGACUGGAAUCUAGCAGAGGGGGGUGGAAUGCCGCGUGUAGCAGUGAAAUGCGUAGAGAUGCGGCGGAACACCGAUGGCGAAGGCAGCCCCCUGGGCUGAGAUUGACGCUCAUGCACGAAAGCGUGGGGAGCAAACAGG
Molecule: ribosomal RNA, 253 nt
Filed under: uncultured bacterium
Lineage: Bacteria
Description: partial 16S ribosomal RNA
Rfam family: Bacterial small subunit ribosomal RNA
Source: RNAcentral